UACUCCUACGGGAGGCAGCAGUGGGGAAUUUUGGACAAUGGGCGCAAGCCUGAUCCAGCCAUGCCGCGUGAGUGAAGAAGGCCUUCGGGUUGUAAAGCUCUUUCAGCUGGGAAGAUAAUGACGGUACCAGCAGAAGAAGCCCCGGCUAACUCCGUGCCAGCAGCCGCGGUAAU
This 173-nucleotide ribosomal RNA is filed under the name uncultured bacterium. RNAcentral's name for it is "partial 16S ribosomal RNA". It matches the Rfam family "Bacterial small subunit ribosomal RNA", at positions 334 to 524 of the family's 1533-position model. The record is from RNAcentral.